This 582-nucleotide ribosomal RNA is filed under the name uncultured bacterium. RNAcentral describes it as "bacterial SSU rRNA". It matches the Rfam family "Bacterial small subunit ribosomal RNA", at positions 8 to 580 of the family's 1533-position model. The record is from RNAcentral.
AGAGUUUGAUCAUGGCUCAGGAUGAACGCUAGCUACAGGCUUAACACAUGCAAGUCGAGGGGCAGCAUGAUUGAAGCUUGCUUCAAUUGAUGGCGACCGGCGCACGGGUGAGUAACACGUAUCCAACCUGCCGAUAACUCGGGGAUAGCCUUUCGAAAGAAAGAUUAAUACCCGAUAGUAUAGUAUUUCCGCAUGGUUUCACUAUUAAAGAAUUUCGGUUAUCGAUGGGGAUGCGUUCCAUUAGAUAGUUGGCGGGGUAACGGCCCACCAAGUCAACGAUGGAUAGGGGUUCUGAGAGGAAGGUCCCCCACAUUGGAACUGAGACACGGUCCAAACUCCUACGGGAGGCAGCAGUGAGGAAUAUUGGUCAAUGGACGAGAGUCUGAACCAGCCAAGUAGCGUGAAGGAUGACUGCCCUAUGGGUUGUAAACUUCUUUUAUACGGGAAUAAAGUGGAGUAUGCAUACUCCUUUGUAUGUACCGUAUGAAUAAGGAUCGGCUAACUCCGUGCCAGCAGCCGCGGUAAUACGGAGGAUCCGAGCGUUAUCCGGAUUUAUUGGGUUUAAAGGGAGCGUAGGCGGGU